GAAGGCAGCUGUCAACCUUACGGGAAGCCCACUAUUAAAAGGAAACAAAAGUGUCAUUAGAAGUCCUGCGUCACUGUGGAUUGAGCCUGAGGGCAGACUGGGGGCGUGGACCUCCUCCACAGGACUGAGAAAGCAGCUGGAGGCCUUGACAGUGAGAGGGCCCCUGAGG
Molecule: unclassified non-coding RNA, 169 nt
Organism: Ursus americanus (American black bear)
Lineage: Eukaryota; Metazoa; Chordata; Mammalia; Carnivora; Ursidae
Source: Ensembl